CCUACGGGUGGCAGCAGUGAGGAAUAUUGGUCAAUGGACGCGAGCCUGAACCAGCCAAGUCGCGUGCAGGAUGACUGCCCUAUGGGUUGUAAACUUCUUUUAUAAAGGGAUAAAGUGAGACACGCGUGCCUUUCUGUAUGUACUUUAUGAAUAAGGAUCGGCUAACUCCGUGCCAGCAGCCGCGGUAAUACGGAGGAUCCGAGCGUUAUCCGGAUUUAUUGGGUUUAAAGGGUGCGUAGAUGGGAUGUUAAGUCAGUUGUGAAAGCUUGAGGCUCAACCGUAAAAUUGCAAUUGAUACUGGCAGGCUAGAGUACAGUUGAGGUAGGCGGAAUGCGUGGUGUAGCGGUGAAAUGCUUAGAUAUCACGAAGAACUCCGAUUGCGAAGGCAGCUUACUAAGCUGCCACUGACAUUGAGGCUCGAAAGUGUGGGUAGCAAACAGGAUUAGAUACCCGGGUAGUC
RNAcentral lists this ribosomal RNA (460 nucleotides) under uncultured bacterium. RNAcentral describes it as "partial 16S ribosomal RNA". It matches the Rfam family "Bacterial small subunit ribosomal RNA", at positions 338 to 795 of the family's 1533-position model. The record is from RNAcentral.